CGGGACAGCAGCUCAAAAACGUGAUUUUUGGACCAUUUCUUACAUUUUCUUUUCCUCUCUUCUUCUCCCCUCUUUCAUGUCCGAAAACUUAGCCCUAAAAACCUUGAUUUCCUCCACUUUUAUCAACAAAUCAACCAUGGAUUUUGCAUCAACAAAGAAGAACAAGUGAAGAUCAACAUUUUCAACCGAUUGGAUUUUGGAAUUUUGAAGUGAUGCUCUUGACCUAGCUUCCUUGCUUUCAAUCUUGAGGGCACACUUCAGGAGGGCCAAGCACUCCGUUGUAGCACUGUCACCAAUCAGGUGGUCUGUCCUAGCCAAGACGCCCGCUUUCUUUUGUCAACCUUCGUAUGUCCAGGCACUAUAUAAGCCAUUUAUUUUGUCAAGUUGUCAAGAUGUUGACUUGCUUAUGGGUGUCCCUCUAAGGUUGUUGUAUAUACUUUCAUGUUCGUUUUU
Molecule: long non-coding RNA, 453 nt
Organism: Camellia sinensis
Lineage: Eukaryota; Viridiplantae; Streptophyta; Magnoliopsida; Ericales; Theaceae
Source: RefSeq, a predicted model, not a curated record